This is a long non-coding RNA of Cyprinus carpio (common carp), 1353 nucleotides long. RefSeq lists it as uncharacterized. The record is from RefSeq and is a predicted model, not a curated record. NCBI's taxonomy places the organism in Eukaryota, Metazoa, Chordata, Actinopteri, Cypriniformes, Cyprinidae. The transcript is spliced from 4 exons.
UUCAUUUCCUGAUUUGCAUAAUUCCUUUAGUGAAUCGGUUACUAAAACAAUGCAGACAGCACGUGCAAAUAAACGACGCUAUCAGUGGGCCACAAUUUAUUCUGAAUUCCUCCCUGCAGGAACUUUUUCAAAUGUUCACUCCGGUUUUGACAAUUACUGAGCAGUUUUGAAUAUUGAUUCUUGGAAUUUAAUUGACCUAUUUCAUUGUCAAUCUUGGAGGUCCUCAAACUGUUAUUUCCCUGUAGUCCAGUGUGUUAUUGAAAACAUAUCUCAAGAAAACACCCUGGAGAAAGGGCUACAGACAAAGCUUCACAUCACUGUAAAAGACAGAUGCAGUGCUCUAUAAUAGACAACUGGAUAAACAACACCUACUGUUUCAGUGGGUUUCUCUUCUCAUCAAAUCCAGUUAGUUUACUGUUUUUGUCAGCAAUUUAUUGGCAUAUAUAUGGAGAGUAUUAGGGCCGAUUCACACAGAAUGUUGUUGCGUUCCACACGAGUGCUGAUUUUAAUAGCCGUUCUCUGUAAACAUGCGCUUCUAUAUCAAUCGUUUGUGCCGCGACUACGUUUUUAAGACGUUGUGCUAAAUUAAAUAAAGUUAAACUUUUUAACUCAUCCCUCGGUGAUGCGUCUAGCGUUUUAAAAGCGACACGUUCUGUGAACACUUUUGGCAACCGCAAUAAAUCAAAAUGAUCAAAACAGAUUAAUUAAAAUCUCAAGGACAAAGACUCUCCUCUACAUUGCUCAAUACUGUGACUCUUACCAGGUGCCAUACGUUGGAAGCACUCUGUCUCCACAAAUAAGGUUUUUUUUUUUUUUUUUCUCGAGCUGUACAUUCAUCCAAAGCUAGAGAGCGCGCUGCAGCAUGCGUGCUGCGUGCUCUGUAUGUCACUUCCGACACAGAUGAGCACAGGUUACGUUUUUUUGCAGAACCCUGAUCGUGUGUUAAAGUACAACAUGAGAACAAGCGCUGUUCAUCCACUGGCCUCUCUGCGUCAUCCCAACUGAUGACCAUGUCAGUGUUCGCGGAGAGCAUGCAGGAUUAAAGAAAUUUGUAAAGCUACCAUCUGCUGUCGGAAAUGUCAGCGCUGUUCAGGAUCAAACAUGAGAAGCGCUCAGUCUUGCAUCCCUCUCAGCACCCACGGCAUCCUAAAGUGCUUCUUUUAGGUCUGCCAUAAAGGCCGCUUCAAGUAUAUUUUAGAAUUGCUGUAAAUAGUGCACCACUUGACAUCACAAAACAGACAACACAGCUGCUGCUGACCAGAGAAAGAAGCAGAACGGAGGAUUUAUGCAUGUUUGCUCUACAGUGUGGUCCACAUGUCUUUGCACCCUGGGAAGGGCACUGCUGUCACAAGA